Molecule: ribosomal RNA, 503 nt
Filed under: uncultured bacterium
Lineage: Bacteria
Description: partial 16S ribosomal RNA
Rfam family: Bacterial small subunit ribosomal RNA
Source: RNAcentral
AUUGAACGCUGGCGGCAGGCUUAACACAUGCAAGUCGAGCGGGGUGAUGAUGCUUGCACUAUCACUUAGCGGCGGACGGGUGAGUAAUGCUUAGGAAUCUGCCUAUUAGUGGGGGACGACAUCUCGAAAGGGAUGCUAAUACCGCAUACGUCCUACGGGAGAAAGCAGGGGAUCACUUGUGACCUUGCGCUAAUAGAUGAGCCUGAGUCGGAUUAGCUAGUUGGUGGGGUAAAGGCCUACCAAGGCGACGAUCUGUAGCGGGUCUGAGAGGAUGAUCCGCCACACUGGGACUGAGACACGGCCCAGACUCCUACGGGAGGCAGCAGUGGGGAAUAUUGGACAAUGGGGGGAACCCUGAUCCAGCCAUGCCGCGUGUGUGAAGAAGGCCUUAUGGUUGUAAAGCACUUUAAGCGAGGAGGAGGCUCUUUUGGUUAAUACCCAAGAUGAGUGGACGUUACUCGCAGAAUAAGCACCGGCUAACUCUGUGCCAGCCGCCGCGGUAA